RNAcentral lists this ribosomal RNA (890 nucleotides) under uncultured archaeon. Its description in RNAcentral is "bacterial SSU rRNA". It matches the Rfam family "Archaeal small subunit ribosomal RNA", at positions 4 to 873 of the family's 1478-position model. The record is from RNAcentral.
UCGGUUGAUCCUGCCGGACCUUACUGCUAUCGGGGUGGGACUAAGACAUGCGAGUCACGUGUCUCUAGCUAUGUUGAGACACGGCAGACGGCUCAGUAACGCGUGGCUAACCUGCCCUCAGGACGAAGAUAACCCCGGGAAACUGGGGAUAAUAUUCGAUAGGUGAGGAUGUCUGGAAUGACUUCUCUCCUAAAGGACCUAGAUACAUGCUUCUAUGUCGCCUGGGGAUGGGGCCGCGCCCGAUCAGGUUGUUGGUGAGGUAACGGCUCACCAAGCCUAUAACCGGUACGGGCCGUGAGAGCGGUAGCCCGGAGAUGGGUACUGAGACAAGGACCCAGGCCCUACGGGGCGCAGCAGUCGCGAAAACUCCGCAAUGCACGAAAGUGUGACGGGGCUACCCCGAGUGCCAUCCGCUGAGGAUGGCUUUUCUUUGGUAUAACUAGCCAUUGGAAUAAGGAGAGGGCAAGACUGGUGUCAGCCGCCGCGGUAAUACCAGCUCUCCGAGUGGUAGGGAUGAUUAUUGGGCUUAAAGCGUCCGUAGCCGGCUUAGCAAGUUUCCUGUUAAACCCAGCGACUCAAUCGUUGGAUCGCGGGAAAUGUUACUAGGCUAGGAGGCGGGAGAGGUCAACGGUACUUCUGGNGUAGGGGUGAAAUCCUAUAAUCCCGGGAGGACCACCAGUGGCGAAGGCUGUUGACUAGAACGCGCUCGACGGUGAGGGACGAAAGCUGGGGGAGCGAACCGGANUAGAUACCCGGGUAGUCCCAGCUGUAAACGAUGCGAGCUAGGUGUUGGGAUGGCUACGGGCCAUUUCAGUGCCNCAGGGAAGCCAUUAAGCUCGCCGCCUGGGGNAGUANGGCCGCAAGGCUGAAACUUAAAGGAAUUGGCGGGG